CUGGAAUUAAGGGUUAACAGACAUCAGUCCUGACCCAGCCUGCUUAAGGCCUUCCUAAGGCUUUGCACCUGCAGAGAUACAGGCCGUGCCUCUCUGAGCAAUGAGUCUUGCUUCUCCUUCACUUCCUGGGGCUUCUCUCAGCUCCACAUGGGGCAAAGAGCAGGGAGAACCCUGCUCAGUUCUGUCUAGCCCGACUGGGACGUGGAAAGGCUAAUCCGAGCCCCACUUCUGCCACUCAGUUGCUGGGCCUCAGUUUCCCUGGCUGUACGGAGAAGGCUGGAGUGCAAUGGCACGAUCUCAGCUCACCGCAACCUCCGCCUCCUGGAUUCAAGCAAUUCUCCUGCCUCAGCCUCCCGAGUAGCUGGGAUUACAGGAGAAAACAAGAUGGAACCCAGUGACUGGCCACCAUGGACACAUGCAAGGGAGAAGGAGAAGUCCCCAGUAGGAAAAGGAAUGUGUACAAUGAAAUGUAAUGAUGUAUAAUACAUUGGCUGUUUUUGAAUUCCAACCAUGGAUUUCCCAGCUACUGGCAGUGAAACUGAUCUUUUCUGUGACACGCCUGUCCCCCUUUGUCUUCUGCCAUGAGUGGAAACUUCCUGAGGCCUCACCAGAAGCUGAGCAGAUGCUGGUACCAAACUUGUACAGCCUGUAGAACCACAAGGCAAAUAAAUCUCUUUUUGAAAAUAG
This 687-nucleotide long non-coding RNA is filed under the name Homo sapiens (human). Its description in RNAcentral is "PREDICTED lncRNA (TCONS_00260137)". The record is from RNAcentral. Lineage: Eukaryota; Metazoa; Chordata; Mammalia; Primates; Hominidae.